CCUACGGGUGGCUGCAGUGGGGAAUAUUGCACAAUGGGCGCAAGCCUGAUGCAGCCAUGCCGCGUGUGUGAAGAAGGCCUUCGGGUUGUAAAGCACUUUCAGCGGGGAGGAAGGCGUUAAGGUUAAUAACCUUGUCGAUUGACGUUACCCGCAGAAGAAGCACCGGCUAACUCCGUGCCAGCAGCCGCGGUAAUACGGAGGGUGCAAGCGUUAAUCGGAAUUACUGGGCGUAAAGCGCACGCAGGCGGUCUGUCAAGUCGGAUGUGAAAUCCCCGGGCUCAACCUGGGAACUGCAUUCGAAACUGGCGGGCUAGAGUCUUGUAGAGGGGGGUAGAAUUCCAGGUGUAGCGGUGAAAUGCGUAGAGAUCUGGAGGGAUACCGGUGGCGAAGGCGGCCCCCUGGACAAAGACUGACGCUCAGGUGCGAAAGCGUGGGGAGCAAACAGGAUUAGAUACCCGAGUAGUC
RNAcentral lists this ribosomal RNA (465 nucleotides) under uncultured Klebsiella sp. Its description in RNAcentral is "bacterial SSU rRNA". It matches the Rfam family "Bacterial small subunit ribosomal RNA", at positions 338 to 795 of the family's 1533-position model. Lineage: Bacteria; Pseudomonadati; Pseudomonadota; Gammaproteobacteria; Enterobacterales; Enterobacteriaceae. The record is from RNAcentral.